CGUAGGAGGCAAGCGUUAUCCGGAUUUAUUGGGCGUAAAGGGCGUGUAGGUGGCCAGUAAAGUCUCUUGUGAAAUCUCCCGGCUCAACCGGGAGGGGUCAAGAGAUACUCAUUGGCUCGAGGGAAGCAGAGGAGAAUGGAAUUCCCGGUGUAGUGGUGAAAUGCGUAGAUAUCGGGAGGAACACCAGUGGCGAAAGCGAUUCUCUGGGCUUAACCUGACACUGAGGCGCGAAAGCGUGGGGAGCAAACCGGAUCAGAUACCCGGGUAGUCCACGCCAUAAACGAUGAGUGCUGGGUAUGGGGGGUAUCGACCCCCUCCGUGCCGAAGUUAACACGUUAAGCACUCCGCCUGGGAACUACGACCGCAAGGUU
Molecule: ribosomal RNA, 371 nt
Filed under: uncultured organism
Description: bacterial SSU rRNA
Rfam family: Bacterial small subunit ribosomal RNA
Source: RNAcentral